UUGGAGGGCAAGUCUGGUGCCAGCAGCCGCGGUAAUUCCAGCUCCAAUAGCGUAUAUUAAAGUUGUUGCAGUUAAAAAGCUCGUAGUUGAAUUUCGAGAUCAAUUUGUCGGUCGUGCCUCGGUACGUACUGGCAUUAUUGAUUUCUCCCUUCUGAAGAACCGCGAUGUCAUUAAUUUGGUGUCGUGGGGAAUCAGGACUGUUACUUUGAAAAAAUUAGAGUGUUUAAAGCAGGCGCACGCUUGAAUACAUUAGCAUGGAAUAAUGUAAUAGGACGUUUGAUUCUAUUUUGUUGGUUUCUAGGAUCGACGUAAUGAUUAAUAGGGAUAGUUGGGGGCAUUAGUAUUCAAUUGUCAGAGGUGAAAUUCUUGGAUUUAUUGAAGACUAACUACUGCGAAAGCAUUUGCCAAGGAUGUUUUCAUUAAUCAAGAACGAAAGUUAGGGGAUCGAAGACGAUCAGAUACCGUCGUAGUCUUAACCAUAAACUAUGCCGACUAGGGAUCGGAUGAUGUUAAUUUUUUAAUGACUCAUUCGGCGCCUUACGGGAAAC
This 548-nucleotide ribosomal RNA is filed under the name uncultured Glomeromycotina. Its description in RNAcentral is "SSU rRNA". It matches the Rfam family "Eukaryotic small subunit ribosomal RNA", at positions 548 to 1098 of the family's 1831-position model. Lineage: Eukaryota; Fungi; Glomeromycota. The record is from RNAcentral.